UUUUUUUAUGUAUGUUACAUCAGAACUUUUGCCCGUGUUGACCGAUUUCGACAAAUUUUCUUUUAAUUGAAAGGUGGUGUGUGCCAAUUGGUCCCAUUUAAAUUUAUUUGCGAUCUAACAACUACUUUUCGAGUUAUAUCUAAUAAUGCGUUUUUACUUGACGCUUUUUUUGUCGACCUACGUUGUAUUAUACCGCAUAACUUUCUACUGGGUGUACCGAUUUUGAUAAUUCUUUUUUUGUUGGAAAGGAGAUAUCCCUAGUUUAGUACCGUGAUAAGAAAACCAGGAUCUGAUGAUGGGAUCCCAGAGAAAUCGAGGGAAACUCUUGAAAAUCCG
RNAcentral lists this unclassified non-coding RNA (336 nucleotides) under Melitaea cinxia (Glanville fritillary). RNAcentral's name for it is "misc RNA ENSMCXG00005022433.1". Lineage: Eukaryota; Metazoa; Arthropoda; Insecta; Lepidoptera; Nymphalidae. The record is from RNAcentral.